GAUCGAUAGGGCACUCGGACGGACAAUAGCACACAAAACGCAUUUGGCCCAUGCCUUCUGCAGGCACCCCAUCAGGAGCUGCAUGGCUCACAGCAUGUGACAUGACAAAAGAAGAGAAAUACCCUGCUGGUGCCAGAGUCUGCUCAAAGCACUUCAAGCCUGAAGAUUAUGAUCCCAUACUGCAGUGUAAGCUGCUGAAGACAGCCAUCCCCACAUUGGUAUGGAAGCCAGCGCCACGCGUUUUCGUGCAUCGGAGACAGCAGCUACACCUACCGGUGCCAUCCUAAAACGGGUUCCGCAGGAUAAAGCUGGGCGAGGUGCCGCCGCCGCCUCCCACCGACGGUCGUCCCUCCUUAGGUGUCGCAGUACGGCACGUCACCGCCUCCGCCUGCCACCGAGGCUUCCACCCUCCUCAGCUGGAGCUUUACUAUCAUCUUUGCUCGUCUUCAUCGAGCUGUGCCAAGAACUAAGUACUUUUCGUAGCAACUUGUCAUUGGACGGGUACUGUAUCCAGGAAGCCAGCGCUUCUGCAACACCUCAGUCCACCGUGCACACGCAUGCCGAAACGACGCAUGCAGGAGCUGGACCAGUCAAAGCAGUGACGGCGUCAUCGGGCUUCUCGACUCCAAGUUCGAUAACAACGUUGGAGGCGAAUGCCAACACGGAAUUAUGGACGCCGCGACACCGAUGUGGCAGUGACGCCGAAUACAGCUCAGAGGAUGAGGGAGCGGUGAGGAGUAUCCAUCAAGGGCAGCACCUGCCGAAGAGGACUUUGACCCAGAACCAUCACCUGACUGCCAUCAUGACGAUGCCGAUAUGUUCCUCACGGUACCGAUGGACAACGACAACACCGAGAGGUAACACUAUGCCCAACACAACCAAAUGUGCGUCGCGGUCUACGGCCGAGCACAGGGAAAAUCGUCUCGUGAUCGCAAGGAGCUCCUGAGAUCGUCCGUUAUGCCCCAGAGAUGCGUAACCGAGGGGAAGCCACGAGAAAGAAAGCAGCAUCUCGUGCGCACAGUCGGAUCGCCUCUGACGACCCUCGCCAAGAACACCAGUACACAGCACAGACAGUGCGGCACACCGGUACAGAAGGAACGGCGGGGGCCCUUAAGAGUCAUCACGGCCGAGUCUGUGCGGUGGGCGGGAGCCAGCGCACCCCGCACACCAGGCACCCACCUCGCCCUGCGCGUAGCGCCAGCGCGACGGGCGCAGCGUGCGCGGAGCCAGCGCCCUCUGGGCGACGGGCCAGGCCCACGGCCGGUGGCAGCCAGCGCGGCAAUCGGCGGGAAGAGCUGUACGCUUGACAGGCGCAGGCCAAUAACCCGGAGCACGUGUCGUAAUCCAGCGUAGCCUGCGUUGCUGGGCUCCGGGAACUGCCUGCGCAUGCCCCAAACGCCGUGUGAUGGAAUAGCAUGACGAACGCCACCGCCGAGAGACCCCACCUGCGCCGAAAUGUCUUGUUGACGCUGCGUCACGAAACAGCUCAGUAUCAUGAUCGUUUCACGGUUUGCCAGCCCUCCCCGAUCAUCAUGUUUGUGAUAGUCACGUUGUGAUCUGGCGCCGGCUGACGUGAUUUGGUACGCUCUUUUGUACAAUGCUGUGUAUGCUGCGAUUCGGCCGCCGUCCAAUGCAGAAUGCAAUACGAUCAUCCGGCAUUGUGCCAUGCGGCACGCGGUACCAUCAUCACUCGACAGUGGCGGCGCGGUAACGCUGUUAGUGAUAAUUAGCCGUUGCCGACGCGCCUCAAGAUGUUGCGGACGCGUUCACGAAACCAAAACUUGGACCGCGAAACCCUUCAGAACUCUUCGACGUGUGCGCUGGGGUCUGACGGCUCUGAUGAGGCGAGGAAACGUCUCGCGUGUCAUAUCCCGUCGACCGUGCAACCACGGUCUAAAUGUUCUCAGCGGUUACCAACAAGGGACGCAAUAGCCGCGUUCCCCGCUGUAACCACAGGGGAUUUGCCAGUUUCCAUGUUGUACUAUGCAAUUGCACCGAAGUCUCAUUACGUACCGUUCCGGUCGCCAACGGUUGUAGGGAAAUGAGCGGCCGAAGUGUCGUGCCGUUUUAGUGGGAAUCACCGUAAGGACACAUGUAAAUCACGAAUCCAAUUAUCUGUUUUCACACGUGCGCAGUGAACAGGGAUCAAUAAACCCAGCGUGUA
Long non-coding RNA from Pollicipes pollicipes, 2164 nucleotides. RefSeq lists it as uncharacterized. The record is from RefSeq and is a predicted model, not a curated record. The transcript has 8 exons. NCBI's taxonomy places the organism in Eukaryota, Metazoa, Arthropoda, Thecostraca, Pollicipedomorpha, Pollicipedidae.